AAAUUUCGGGUUGGUAGAUCUUAAUUCUCCUCCCCCUCGACGCAUAUUGAUUUAGGGUUUCAGGUUUCUGCUUUGAAUCGCGAUAUAGACAUGGCGGGUGCUGGAAUCCACCUUACCACCAGCAGUGGCCGCCGGCACCAGCUCCUCCGCCCCCUACAGCCACAUCAGCUGCCGCUCCUCUUCCUCCGCCUCCUGUCCACCAUCCUCCACCUUCUACUCACGAUGAGGUUCGAACCUUCUUCAUUACUGGUCUUCCUGAAGACGUCAAAGAGAGAGAGUUACAAAAUUUACUAAGAUGGCUUCCGGGUUUGAAGCUUCGCAAGUGAACUACAAGGGUGAAAAACCAAUGGGUUUUGCUCUCUUUUCAACUGCACAACUUGCAGUUGCUGCCAAAGAUGCUCUUCAGGAAUUGUAGCAGAUUCUAAUUCAUAUGAUCAAAGUAAGCGUUUGCGCACUGGUGGCGAUUAUUCACACAGUGCUUAUACAACACCGUCUCCAUUUCACCCUCCUGCCCCUGUCUGGGGACCUCAUGGGUAUUUAGCUCCAACUCCUCCAUAUGAUCCGUAUGGAGGCUAUCCUGUUCCUCCAGUUCCAAUGCCUACCUCUGCUCCUUCACCAGCUCCUAGCAUUAUGUGCCUGUUCAGAAUACCAAGAUAACCCUCCAUGCAAUACUUUAUUUAUUGGCAAUCUUGGAGAGAACAUUAAUGAGGAAGAACUACAGGGCCUAUUUAGCGCUCAACCUGGUUUUAAGCAAAUGAAGAUCUUGAGACAAGAAAGGCAUACCGUUUGCUUUAGAGUUUGAAGAUGUGAAUUCUGCAAGCAAUGUGCACCACAGUUUACAGGGUGCUGUGAUCCCUAGUUCUGGUUCUGUUGGCAUGCGAAUACAAUAUUCCAAGAAUCCCUUUGGCAGAAGGAAGGACUCCAAUCAUUCAGUUGCUUCCCCUAGUGCAAAUGGGACUCCGCCAGCUCUGACUUACCAGUAGAUGAGGGAUAAUCUCUGUUUUCUAUGCUCCAACAAAUACAACUGCUACAUGCUAGGAUGCAUCUUGUAGCUAUGCAUGCACCCAUUUCAUUGUCAACAUCAGCAUUAUCAUCUCUUGUCAUGUGUUUGAAUGCGCAUAGUGAUAUCAUGAAUGCACCAUUUGCUCAUGUUCUAUCAAUUUACCUGAGACAUGCAUGCGUCUGCAGCAUUUGUUAUGCUGGGUUAACUUUAUAGGGUUUCAGAUAACGUUAAUAU
This is a long non-coding RNA of Hibiscus syriacus, 1237 nucleotides long. RefSeq lists it as uncharacterized. The record is from RefSeq and is a predicted model, not a curated record. Lineage: Eukaryota; Viridiplantae; Streptophyta; Magnoliopsida; Malvales; Malvaceae. The transcript has 8 exons.